Long non-coding RNA from Vidua chalybeata, 1163 nucleotides. RefSeq lists it as uncharacterized. The record is from RefSeq and is a predicted model, not a curated record. The transcript is spliced from 5 exons. NCBI's taxonomy places the organism in Eukaryota, Metazoa, Chordata, Aves, Passeriformes, Viduidae.
GACAGAGAAGCCUAUUAGGAAAUCAGAAUGCUGUUUUCAGGCAAACUGAACCCCAGAGUUUAUAAUGGUUAAGUUCUAAAGGCAAGUGUCCAAGCAUAUUACUGAAGAAUUUCUUUGCUUAAAUGGCAGCAAUCUUCCUUUAUGACAGAGAGCUGGAAGAGCAGAGCAGCUGUCAGUCUGAGAUGCAAUCAGUCUCCUACAACAUAUGCUUCAUGACAUGCAGAGAGCGGGACAGAAAAUAAACAUCAUGGAGAUUUUCCUGGCUGAGAGAACAUGCUAUACAGAAAAACAGACCGGCUAAGUAGAUUUAUUUCAACAGCUAGUGAAGCUAAAAUUUUUCACAAAACUCCAUUUCAAGCUCCAUACUCGAAAUAAUUUCAAUGGCUUUUCAGCCUGAUACUAACAAAGAGAUGCAAGAGAUUGCCAAAGAUCCUAAGCCUGCACUAAUCAGCACAGAUGAUGGGUGAUUUCGGAGACAAAACUCUUUUGGGAGUGACCAUGUCAGUGUGCUGCUGUUGUGAAUCAUCUUUAAAACCUUCUCCACUCAGUGUGAAGGACAUCCCCCCAAUAAAGGGGUUUGGUGAUUUGCUUAAGUCAACCCUGCUGUGUUCAGCAGGUAUGUACUGAAGAGAAAGUCUGCUGGAUUUCAAGAUACUGCCAUUAAAGCUCCCAGACCAGCUCAUGGGAAAGCUUGUCUAGCUUUCCCUCUCUCUGACCAGGCUGUCACAUCCACAGACACACCUGUGGCUCUGAAGGCCCUGGAGAGACACUGACCCCCAAAGCAGAGGAGCCAGCUCCAGGGCUAAAGGACUGACUGAACACAGAUUACCUCCUCCUGGUCCUCCCACAGGCAAUGUAGCACUGGCUAAAAAAGAAUGCACUAAGUUCCUUCACUGUAUAGAGAUCUUUGUGUCUGCAAAGUGUUCCUUCUGUAAUUGCCUUGUUCCCUCAUUGGUAAUGCAGGAAUUUCAGUCCAAGAAGCACUGGGUGAGGUUCAGAGGUGCUUGGAAAAGUGUUGGUAUUCUCAUACAUCACCAAGUACUCAUUGCCAAUGCAUUCCCAUUUCUCAUCAUUCUAAGAAUUUCUGAAAGUCUAGGAAAUAAUCUGUAUCUCACUGCACUUUAUUUGGUAUUUAUCAUCAUAAAGUUUAGGAGAUUAAUCAU